AGCAGCCGCGGUAAUUCCAGCUCCAAUAGCGUAUAUUAAAGUUGUUGCAGUUAAAAAGCUCGUAGUUGAAUUUCGGGGUUAGUAGGUUGGUCAUGCCUCUGGUAUGUACUGGUCUCACUGAUUCCUCCUUCCUGAUGAGCCGUAAUGCCAUUAAUUUGGUGUUGCGGGGAAUUUGGACUGUUACUUUGAAAAAAUUAGAGUGUUUAAAGCAGGCUCGCGCUUGAAUACAUUAGCAUGGAAUAAUGAAAUAGGACGUUGACCCUAUUUUGUUGGUUUCUUAGGAUUGACGUAAUGAUUAAUAGGGAUAGUUGGGGGCGAUUAGUAUUCAAUUGUCAGAGGUGAAAUUCUUGGAUUUAUUGAAGACUAACUACUGCGAAAGCAUUUGCCAAGGAUGUUUUCAUUAAUCAAGAACGAAAGUUAGGGGAUCGAAGACGAUCAGAUACCGUCGUAGUCUUAACCAUAAACUAUGCCGACUAGGGAUCGGAUGAUGUUAUUUUUAAUGACUCAUUCGGCGCCUUAC
This 520-nucleotide ribosomal RNA is filed under the name uncultured Glomus. Its description in RNAcentral is "SSU rRNA". It matches the Rfam family "Eukaryotic small subunit ribosomal RNA", at positions 569 to 1091 of the family's 1831-position model. The record is from RNAcentral. Lineage: Eukaryota; Fungi; Glomeromycota; Glomeromycetes; Glomerales; Glomeraceae.